Molecule: long non-coding RNA, 209 nt
Organism: Myiozetetes cayanensis
Lineage: Eukaryota; Metazoa; Chordata; Aves; Passeriformes; Tyrannidae
Exons: 3
Source: RefSeq, a predicted model, not a curated record
GCUCGGCCAGAGGAGGAAUGGCAGCCUGGACAGGGCCGUAACCUGUGGAAGUGAAACCCAGAUUUUUCUCCAUCCUCAAUCCAGCAGCCGUGCUAUGGAUUGGUGGAAAAAGAAGGCGAUAAGAGCUAAAAUCAGAUAUGCAAUCCGUGUUUCAUGUGUACUGCCAAAAAGGGCUCUGAUACUGCAAGCCCGAGAGGUUACUCCUUGGC